RNAcentral lists this ribosomal RNA (255 nucleotides) under uncultured bacterium. RNAcentral describes it as "partial 16S ribosomal RNA". It matches the Rfam family "Bacterial small subunit ribosomal RNA", at positions 74 to 334 of the family's 1533-position model. The record is from RNAcentral.
CAAACUAAAGAUGGCGACCGGCGCACGGGUGAGUAACACGUAUCCAACCUGCCGAUAACUCGGGGAUAGCCUUUCGAAAGAAAGAUUAAUAUCCGAUAGUAUAUUUUCUCCGCAUGGCGAGAAUAUUAAAGAAUUUCGGUUAUCGAUGGGGAUGCGUUCCAUUAGUUUGUUGGCGGGGUAACGGCCCACCAAGACUACGAUGGAUAGGGGUUCUGAGAGGAAGGUCCCCCACAUUGGAACUGAGACACGGCCCAA